AUUGAACGCUGGCGGCAUGCCUUACACAUGCAAGUCGAACGGUAACAGGUCUUCGGAUGCUGACGAGUGGCGAACGGGUGAGUAAUACAUCGGAACGUGCCUAGUAGUGGGGGAUAACUACUCGAAAGAGUGGCUAAUACCGCAUGAGAUCUACGGAUGAAAGCAGGGGAUCGCAAGACCUUGUGCUACUAGAGCGGCCGAUGGCAGAUUAGGUAGUUGGUGGGAUAAAAGCUUACCAAGCAGACGAUCUGUAGCUGGUCUGAGGGGACGAUCAGCCACACUGGGACUGAGACACGGCCCAGACUCCUACGGGAGGCAGCAGUGGGGAAUUUUGGACAAUGGGCGAAAGCCUGAUCCAGCAAUGCCGCGUGCAGGAUGAAGGCCUUCGGGCUGUAAACUGCUUUUGUACGGAACGAAAAGCCCCGGGUUAAUACCCUGGGGUCAUGACGGUACCGUAAGAAUAAGCACCGGCUAACUACGUGCCAGCCGCCGCCGUAA
RNAcentral lists this ribosomal RNA (498 nucleotides) under uncultured bacterium. RNAcentral describes it as "partial 16S ribosomal RNA". It matches the Rfam family "Bacterial small subunit ribosomal RNA", at positions 30 to 523 of the family's 1533-position model. The record is from RNAcentral.